CUGUAGUACAGGCUGUCCCCAGCAGCGGAGUCAGUGCGCCCCACGUGACGGCUCCGUCUUCAGGCUUUGGCUCUUCGGUGAGCUCCACAAACAGACGCACAUACACACACGCACACACACAUACACACACUCUCUCUGCUCUCCAUCCAGUCUCUCAUUUCUCUCCCUUCCUUAUCUCUUCCCCUCCUCUCUCUCCCUCUGAAUACACACACGCACGCACACACACACACACACACACACACACACACACACACACAUACAGACACAGACACACACACAGACACAUACCCACCCGUACCGGCAGCAGCGGCGGCGGCAGCAGCCCGGCAGCAGAAGUCAGGGCAAACCUCUAGGUUCGGUCUUUAGUAACGGCAGCAUCAGUAAAAAUCCCAGGAAGGGAGAAGAGUUGAGAGGUUCCUUUUGCAUUUCUUUUCUUUUCCUUUUUGGAGAGAUUUUUUUUUUGUUGUGUUGGGUUUUUUUUCCUCCCCAUUUUGUUUGCAUCCAGAGGAUGGCAGGCUGCGGGCUAUCGGAAGAUGCCUUCUUCUCCUCUUUCUUUUACAACUACAGCUCCUCCUGGGAAACCUCCUACAACCAGUGAACAGUUAGUGGCAGCUGAUGCUGUGCUGUGAUGCUUAUGGAAAGGCCACCAGAAGGUAAUGUCUUUUCUUGGUCUUUUGGAUUUGAACUAGUAACCUGGAGGUGAGAACUUCUGUAUUCCAUUACCAAUCCUUUGAGCCCUCCAGUGCACCCUGAAAUAGCCAUGACACUUGUUGUCAUGUGUGGUAUGUCACAUCCGUUCAUGAGGAAAACCUACACCCGAAGGAAAGAGAAUACUCUGGACAAAUCCCAUGAUAGCAGCUUGGUAAUUAACAGCUCCAGCUUCCGAUUGGGAGAUGACUAAUAGUAGCUCAUUGCCAGACUGUGUUAAUAAUCAUAAAUGGGGGGUGAUCCCAUAUCAACACCCCCUUAGUGGGCCCUUGUUUUUGUUUCUCAUUAACUAAAGUGAUUUUUCUUGUUAGAGGGAAUAGUUUUAAUCAUUACUAUAGAGGAGACCAGAGAGACUCAUAUGAGGGCUUCAUGAUAUUCCAAGAUGGUUGUAAUGUUGUCAUUUAUGAGAAUCAGCAGUCCACAGGUAACAACUGGCUGUCAUCUCCACUGACGAUCCUCUGAGGGCAAAAAAAAAAACCCGCCAUUACAAAUACCAAUGAAGCUCAGUGUUGUUUUGUUAAUAAAGGCUUUAUAAAAACCA
RNAcentral lists this long non-coding RNA (1249 nucleotides) under Phascolarctos cinereus (koala). RNAcentral's name for it is "lncRNA (ENSPCIG00000004019.2)". Lineage: Eukaryota; Metazoa; Chordata; Mammalia; Diprotodontia; Phascolarctidae. The record is from RNAcentral.